Molecule: ribosomal RNA, 594 nt
Filed under: uncultured bacterium
Lineage: Bacteria
Description: bacterial SSU rRNA
Rfam family: Bacterial small subunit ribosomal RNA
Source: RNAcentral
UGACGGUAUCAUAUGAAUAAGCACCGGCUAACUCCGUGCCAGCAGCCGCGGUAAUACGGGGGGUGCAAGCGUUACUCGGAAUCACUGGGCGUAAAGAGCAUGUAGGCGGGUGAAUAAGUUGGAAGUGAAAUCCUAUAGCUUAACUAUAGAACUGCUUCCAGAACUGUUCACCUAGAGUAUGGGAGAGGUAGAUGGAAUUUCUGGUGUAGGGGUAAAAUCCGUAGAGAUCAGAAGGAAUACCGAUUGCGAAGGCGAUCUACUGGAACAUUACUGACGCUCAGAUGCGAAAGCGUGGGGAGCAAACAGGAUUAGAUACCCUGGUAGUCCACGCCCUAAACGAUGUACACUAGUUGUUGCUAUACUAGAUAUGGCAGUAAUGCAGUUAACACUUUAAGUGUACCGCCUGGGGAGUACGGUCGCAAGAUUAAAACUCAAAGGAAUAGACGGGGACCCGCACAAGCGGUGGAGCAUGUGGUUUAAUUCGACGAUACGCGAAAAACCUUACCUGGCCUUGACAUAGUAGGAAUCUUUAAGAGAUUAGAGAGUGCUAGCUUGCUAGAACCUACAUACAGGUGCUGCACGGCUGUCGUCAGC